CCCUUAGAUGUUCUGGGCCGCACGCGCGUUACACUGAUGCAUUCAACGAGCUUAUAACCUUGGCCGAGAGGCCUGGGCAAUCUUGUUAACGUGCAUCGUGAUAGGGAUAGAUUAUUGAAAUUAUUAAUCUUGAACGAGGAAUUCCUAGUAAACGCAGAUCAUCAAUCUGCAUUGAUUACGUCCCUGCCCUUUGUACACACCGCCCGUCGCACCUACCGAUUGGAUGGUCCGGUGAAGCCUCGGGAUUGUGGUUCUUGCCGCUUUAUUGUGGCGUGACCGCGAGAACUUGUCUAAACCUUAUCAUCUAGAGGAAGGUGAANUCGUAACA
RNAcentral lists this ribosomal RNA (328 nucleotides) under uncultured eukaryote. RNAcentral's name for it is "partial 18S ribosomal RNA". It matches the Rfam family "Eukaryotic small subunit ribosomal RNA", at positions 1470 to 1796 of the family's 1831-position model. The record is from RNAcentral.